GGCGGUGUGGCUCAGCUUGCUGGAGGAUUCGGUUCAUACCCGAAAGGUCGUGGGUUCGACUCCCUCCGCCGCUA
This 74-nucleotide transfer RNA is filed under the name Listeria monocytogenes. Its description in RNAcentral is "tRNA-Met". It matches the Rfam family "tRNA". From Rfam's summary of the family: Transfer RNA (tRNA) molecules are approximately 80 nucleotides in length. The record is from RNAcentral. Lineage: Bacteria; Bacillati; Bacillota; Bacilli; Caryophanales; Listeriaceae.